Erinaceus europaeus (western European hedgehog) is the source of this 275-nucleotide long non-coding RNA. RefSeq lists it as uncharacterized. The transcript has 2 exons. Lineage: Eukaryota; Metazoa; Chordata; Mammalia; Eulipotyphla; Erinaceidae. The record is from RefSeq and is a predicted model, not a curated record.
CAGCAUCAGCGGCUGUGGGGUGGACAGAUGGGUAGAUGGUGGGAGCUGGGCAGACAGAAGGUAGAGCCAGGUGAAUGGUAGACAAGUGAAAGCUCGUGGAUGAAUAAUGGUAGAUGAUGGGUGGGUGGGUGGUAGGUGGCAUAUGGGUAGUGGACAGACACACAGGGCAGAGACAGACAUAGAUGACAGGCGGCAGGUAGCUGUGUGGAUAACGGGAUGCAGAUACAGAAGAUGUUUAUAACAGACUCACAGAUGGUCGACAGGUAGCUGGGCAG